This 255-nucleotide ribosomal RNA is filed under the name uncultured bacterium. Its description in RNAcentral is "partial 16S ribosomal RNA". It matches the Rfam family "Bacterial small subunit ribosomal RNA", at positions 524 to 776 of the family's 1533-position model. The record is from RNAcentral.
UACGUAGGGUGCGAGCGUUAAUCGGAAUUACUGGGCGUAAAGCGUGCGCAGGCGGUUAUGUAAGACAGAUGUGAAAAUCCCCCGGGCUCAACCUGGGAGCUGCAUUUGUGACUGCAUGGCUAGAGUACGGUAGAGGGGGAUGGAAUUCCGCGUGUAGCAGUGAAAUGCGUAGAUAUGCGGAGGAACACCGAUGGCGAAGGCAAUCCCCUGGACCUGUACUGACGCUCAUGCACGAAAGCGUGGGGAGCAAACAGG